GUGGGGAAUAUUGGACAAUGGGGGAAACCCUGAUCCAGCGACGCCGCGUGAGUGAAGAAGUAUUUCGGUAUGUAAAGCUCUAUCAGCAGGGAAGAAAAUGACGGUACCUGACUAAGAAGCCCCGGCUAACUACGUGCCAGCAGCCGCGGUAAUACGUAGGGGGCAAGCGUUAUCCGGAUUUACUGGGUGUAAAGGGAGCGUAGACGGCACUGCAAGUCUGGAGUGAAAGCCCGGGGCUCAACCCCGGGACUGCUUUGGAAACUGUGGUGCUGGAGUGCAGGAGAGGUAAGUGGAAUUCCUAGUGUAGCGGUGAAAUGCGUAGAUAUUCGGAGGAACACCAGUGGCGAAGGCGGCUCACUGGCUCGAUACUGACGCUGAGGUGCGAAAGCGUGGGGAGCAAACAGGAUUAGAUACCCCAGUAGUCC
This 425-nucleotide ribosomal RNA is filed under the name uncultured bacterium. Its description in RNAcentral is "partial 16S ribosomal RNA". It matches the Rfam family "Bacterial small subunit ribosomal RNA", at positions 354 to 796 of the family's 1533-position model. The record is from RNAcentral.